RNAcentral lists this non-coding RNA (28 nucleotides) under Macaca fascicularis (crab-eating macaque). Lineage: Eukaryota; Metazoa; Chordata; Mammalia; Primates; Cercopithecidae. RNAcentral also lists the same sequence under 1 other name. The record is from RNAcentral.
UGGGCACAGAAGUUAGGAAGGGCUGUCU